This 395-nucleotide ribosomal RNA is filed under the name uncultured bacterium. RNAcentral describes it as "partial 16S ribosomal RNA". It matches the Rfam family "Bacterial small subunit ribosomal RNA", at positions 523 to 918 of the family's 1533-position model. The record is from RNAcentral.
CUACGGAGGGAGCUAGCGUUGUUCGGAAAUACUGGGCGUAAAGCGCACGUAGGCGGCGCAGCAAGUCAGGGGUGAAAUCCCGGGGCUCAACCCCGGAACUGCCUUUGAAACUGCAGUGCUAGAAUCUUGGAGAGGCGAGUGGAAUUCCGAGUGUAGAGGUGAAAUUCGUAGAUAUUCGGAAGAACACCAGUGGCGAAGGCGAGUCGCUGGAGAAGUAUGGUCGCUGAGGCGGGAAAGCGUGGGGAGCAAACAGGAUUAGAUACCCGGGUAGUCCACGCCGUAAACGAUGGAUGCUAGCCGUCGGCAAGCUUGCUUGUCGGUGGCGCAGCUAACGCAUUAAGUUAUCCGCCUGGGGAGUACGGUCGCAAGAUUAAAACUCAAAUGAAUUGGCGGGG